AUCGAGACAAGGUUAGUCCUUAGGAGGCUUUUAUGUUUUUUGAUCAUGUCGUUUUCGCUGGUGUUGCCGUGGUAGCGCUCAUGUUCGUCUUCUUUGGCGGUGUCGGAUAUUUCAUCUGGAAGGACGCUCACGACCACAAAUAGGGUCUGGUUCUUCCGAUCAAGAGCACGCAAGGCAGUUUGGGCGACUUCAUUAAGUCGCCUAUUUUUUUG
Non-coding RNA from Vibrio sp., 212 nucleotides. The record is from Rfam. NCBI's taxonomy places the organism in Bacteria, Pseudomonadati, Pseudomonadota, Gammaproteobacteria, Vibrionales, Vibrionaceae.